Molecule: ribosomal RNA, 468 nt
Filed under: uncultured bacterium
Lineage: Bacteria
Description: partial 16S ribosomal RNA
Rfam family: Bacterial small subunit ribosomal RNA
Source: RNAcentral
GACGAACGCUGGCGGCGUGCUUAACACAUGCAAGUCGAACGGACAGGCCCUGAUUUUGUGGGGUGCUCGAGUGGCGAACGGGUGAGUAAAACGUGAGUAACCUGCACUUGUCUUUGGGAUAAAUUCAGGAAAAUGGGGCUAAUACCGGAUAGGAGAUACUGAUGCAUGGUGGGGGUUGGAAAGAUUCGGCGGUUGGGGAUGGACUCGCGGCUUAUCAGCUUGUUGGUGGGGUAGUGGCUUACCAAGGCUUUGACGGGUAGCCGGCCUGAGAGGGUGACCGGCCACAUUGGGACUGAGAGACGGCCCAGACGCCUACGGGAGGCAGAAGUGGGGAAUAUUGCACAAUGGGCGGAAGCCUGAUGCAGCAACGCCGCGUGCGGGAUGACGGCCUUCGGGUUGUAAACCGCUUUCGCCUGUGACGAAGCGUUAGUGACGGUAAUGGGUAAAGAAGCACCGGCUAACUACGUG